Molecule: long non-coding RNA, 1206 nt
Filed under: Scleropages formosus (Asian bonytongue)
Lineage: Eukaryota; Metazoa; Chordata; Actinopteri; Osteoglossiformes; Osteoglossidae
Description: lncRNA (ENSSFOG00015030306.1)
Source: RNAcentral
CUGUCCACUCAUGGACAUCUCUAUCCGAAGAAGGAGCGGCAACGGUCAUGCUGAAAUAUGCCCGACAUCCCUCAGUGCCGAUAGAAGUGCUUGUGUUUGUGACGAAUGAAACACAGCGAGUGCGGCCAAGACCCCCAUGGGGUUUUUUCUUCGUCCACUUCAAGUGACAUUUUGAAAGCCAGUAAGAAGAGCAGACAGGAGAGACAACCAAGAGCAAGACCAUCCCCAUACCCGGUCCAACCACAAGUGUCUCUACACCUGGUCCAACCAAGACUUUCCCUAUACCCAAUCCAACCACAUCUGUCUCUGCACUACGUCCAACCAGGACUGCUUUUGUGCCUGGUCCAACCAGGACUGUCUCUACACCUGGUCCAACCACUAGUGUCUCUACACCUGGUCCAAUCAAGACCAUCUCUAUACCAGGGUACAAAGAUAAAUGGAAGUGAUUUUCCCAAGGACUUCAAGAAGAAGGACACUUUUGGAAGGGGUAUUAUGAACUCCAGAAAUAAAUCAUAUUAUUUCUCUGGUGCUGGUAACUGAGCCCUUCCUCCGAACCCCCAUGGACACCCACACAAAAUCCAACCGUGAUACACAACUUGGCCCCAGGACCCAUCAGAGGUCUUACAAACUAUUGAAAACAUGUCACACUAUUAUCAGCUAUUUCAGCACUCUGUUCAUGUGUGCGCGUGUGUGUGUGUGUGUGUGGGUGUGUGGGUGUGUGGUUUCCCCAGAUUCGGUGAGCAGAGACGAUUCAAGGCUGGCCCAGUAAAAGAGGAGAAGCUCCCAACCACAGGCUGAGAGCGGUGUCUCCUCUCUUAUGGAGUACAGGGGUAAACAGAGAACUUUGAGUUGUUGCACACCUUUGUGUCACAUGUUUAGACUGACUGCUUUCCUAGAGGGACAGAAGACAGCUUCCACACAUCACUGUAUGUCCUCAAGUAAGAGUUCCUCAUAGCCACAGUCCACGCGAUAUCUGACACGCAGUCCCGGACGGACCGGGGACCGGGAUCUAGCCGCAGGUUCGGCUCAAGCAUCGAGUGCGGACAUGAUCUACAACAUGUUUUUGUGCAGCCAUUCAUGAUCAAUAACCUAAGGCUAAAACAGAGACUUGUGAAAGUUCUGACUAUACACAGUAACCUUACUGUCAGUGAGAUGUGCUGUGCCGUGUGUACAUGAUGUGGUGGAAUAAAUUCCCUCUGGCCCUCA